RNAcentral lists this ribosomal RNA (497 nucleotides) under uncultured bacterium. RNAcentral describes it as "partial 16S ribosomal RNA". It matches the Rfam family "Bacterial small subunit ribosomal RNA", at positions 28 to 507 of the family's 1533-position model. The record is from RNAcentral.
GAUGAACGCUGGCGGCGUGCCUAAUACAUGCAAGUCGAGCGAACGGACGAGAAGCUUGCUUCUCUGAUGUUAGCGGCGGACGGGUGAGUAACACGUGGAUAACCUACCUAUAAGACUGGGAUAACUUCGGGAAACCGGAGCUAAUACCGGAUAAUAUUUUGAACCGCAUGGUUCAAAAGUGAAAGACGGUCUUGCUGUCACUUAUAGAUGGAUCCGCGCUGCAUUAGCUAGUUGGUAAGGUAACGGCUUACCAAGGCAACGAUGCAUAGCCGACCUGAGAGGGUGAUCGGCCACACUAGAACUUAGACAAGGUCCAGACUACUACGGGAGGCUGCAGUAGGGAAUCUUCCGCAAUGGGCGCAGGCCUGACGGAACAACGCCGCGUGAGUGAUGAAGGUCUUCGGAUCGUAAAACUCUGUUAUUAGGGAAGAACAUAUGUGUAAGUACCUGUGCACAUCCUGACGGUACCUAGUCAGAAAGCCACGGCUAACUCCGUG